CCGCGGUAAUUCCAGCUCCAGUAGUGUAUCCUAAAGUUGCUGCGGUUAAAACGCUCGUAGUUGGAUUACGGGGUAGUUUUCUUCGGUCUGCUAUCGAUAAUGGUGUGUGUGUGAGUGGUGAUCUUGCGAUUGCUGAUUGCAUAUAUGCUUGGUGGUGGACUCUGAUAGAAGACUACCACUUGUAUCGUGAGGAUGGUGGUUGGCCUUUACUGUGUUGCCCACUGUGUCUUGCGGAGUGUGCCUUGAAUAAAUCAGAGUGCUCAAAGCAGGCGUAUUGCUUGAAUGUUAAUAGCAUGGAACGAACAAUUGUGAUAUGUGUUGUUGGGAUGAAAAGAGUGGUUUAUUUCGUUCAAUUUGUCUCAAUAAUACAGCACCAACCACGAUGCGUAAGUUGGUUUACGUGAUCGGGUGAUGAUUAAGAGGAGUCAUUGGGGGUAUUGGUAUUUGGCCGCGAGAGGUGAAAUUAA
This 467-nucleotide ribosomal RNA is filed under the name Myxosporea environmental sample. Its description in RNAcentral is "bacterial SSU rRNA". It matches the Rfam family "Eukaryotic small subunit ribosomal RNA", at positions 574 to 920 of the family's 1831-position model. Lineage: Eukaryota; Metazoa; Cnidaria; Myxozoa. The record is from RNAcentral.